RNAcentral lists this ribosomal RNA (468 nucleotides) under uncultured bacterium. RNAcentral's name for it is "partial 16S ribosomal RNA". It matches the Rfam family "Bacterial small subunit ribosomal RNA", at positions 28 to 507 of the family's 1533-position model. The record is from RNAcentral.
GACGAACGCUGGCGGCGUGCUUAACACAUGCAAGUCGAACGGAAAGGCCCUGCUUUUGUGGGGUGCUCGAGUGGCGAACGGGUGAGUAACACGUGAGUAACCUGCCCUUGACUUUGGGAUAACUUCAGGAAACUGGGGCUAAUACCGGAUAGGAGCUCCUGCUGCAUGGUGGGGGUUGGAAAGUUUCGGCGGUUGGGGAUGGACUCGCGGCUUAUCAGCUUGUUGGUGGGGUAGUGGCUUACCAAGGCUUUGACGGGUAGCCGGCCUGAGAGGGUGACCGGCCACAUUGGGACUGAGAUACGGCCCAGACUCCUACGGGAGGCAGCAGUGGGGAAUAUUGCGCAAUGGGCGGAAGCCUGAUGCAGCAACGCCGCGUGCGGGAUGACGGCCUUCGGGUUGUAAACCGCUUUCGCCUGUGACGAGGCGUGAGUGACGGUAAUGGGUAAAGAAGCACCGGCUAACUACGUG